Molecule: ribosomal RNA, 492 nt
Filed under: Triticum aestivum (bread wheat)
Lineage: Eukaryota; Viridiplantae; Streptophyta; Magnoliopsida; Poales; Poaceae
Description: partial small subunit ribosomal RNA
Source: RNAcentral
AUGACGGAUGCCAUAUCAAGAUACUGGUGGGGUGACAACGAUAACCAUAAGAGUACACAUUGGGCGGCAUGGUGGAAACUUUGUAUUCCGAAGAACAAAGGGGGAAUGAGAUUUAAGGAUCUACAUAGCUUCAAUCUCGCUUUGUUUGCCAAGCAAGUAUGGAGACUGUUGGAGAAUCCAGAUUCCUUGUGUGAGCAGGUCCUAAGAUCAAAAUAUUACCCAGACGGGAAACUUCUGGAAGCAAAGAUGAAGAGUGGAUGUUCCUUCACAUGGAAGAGUAUAUGUGAUGGUAUUCAUACUUUCAAAAGAGGGGCUAUUUGGAGGAUUGGAGAUGGUUCACAAGUUAAUAUUUGGUCUGACCCAUGGAUAGCAGCGAGUGCGGAUGGACGUGUAGUCACCCCGAGAGGAGAAAACCUGUUGUCGAAGGUUUCUGACCUGAUCGACCCGGCGACAGGAGUGCGGGAUCACGAGCUGAUCAUGAAUACAUUCUAG